RNAcentral lists this ribosomal RNA (1546 nucleotides) under Eptatretus burgeri (inshore hagfish). RNAcentral's name for it is "16S ribosomal RNA". The stretch from base 713 to 1546 matches the Rfam family "Archaeal large subunit ribosomal RNA", at positions 1424 to 2888 of the family's 2987-position model. Lineage: Eukaryota; Metazoa; Chordata; Myxini; Myxiniformes; Myxinidae. The record is from RNAcentral.
GCUUUAACUUUAGCUUAACACUAACUUAUUCUAACUAUUUCAUACUAUUUUAAGCCAAGUAUUUUUUAAGAAAAGCAAACCAAAAGCUAUAGACAAAGUACCUUAAGGGAAAAUUGAAAAAAAAUGAAAACAAAAGCACUAAAAAGUAGAGAUUAAAACUCUUACCUUUUGCAUCAUAGUUUAACUACCUAAAACAGACUUUCUGAGCCUGAAUCCCGAAAUUAAAUGAGCUACUCAAAAAUAAUUUUUGAAUCAACUUUUUUCUGUAGCAAUAGAAUAAGAAAAUUUUCGAGUAGAGGUGAAAUGCCUAUCGAAUUUAAUAAUAUCUGGUUACUUGAAAGAAGAUUAUAACUCCGCUUUUACAAUUUUCAAAAUUACCUUUUAAUAACUUUUAAAGUGUGAAAAGUCAGUCACGAAAGGAACAGCCUUCAUGACUUUAGGAAACAACCUUUGGGAAUGAAAAAAUUUACCAAUUUUUAGAGUAAAAAUUGGCUUAAAAGCAGCCAUUUAAGAAAGCGUUACAGCCCAUACUCCUUUAUUUAAAAAUUUCACCCCUAAAAUCACCUCUUCCCUUAAUAUAUCAAGUAAUAUUAUAUCGUUAUAAUAGAUAAAAUGUUAAAAUUAGUAAUAAGGAGUCUGACCUCCUCUCUAUAUACCAGUGUAUAUCGAAACGAACUCCCAUCGAUAUUUAACGACCCUUAACCCAACAGAACAGAAGGGCAAAACCAAACUUUCAAGAAAUUCACCUUUUUCUUCAUCGUUAACCCAACACAGGGGUAUAUUAGAGAAAGAUUAAAAAAAUUAGAAGGAACUCGGCAAACUAUGGCUUCGCCUGUUUACCAAAAACAUCGCUUAUUGUUUAAUUAACAUAAUAAGUCCUACCUGCCCAGUGAUUUUUUCAACGGCCAUCUCUGAUGAUAACGUAGCAUAAUCAAUUGUCUAUUAAUUAUAGACUAGAAUGAAUGGAUUAACGAAAGCCAAACUGUCUCCUAAUUUUAAUCAAUGAAAUUAUCCUUUCUGUUCAAAGACAGAAAUUUUCUUAUAAGACGAAAAGACCCUAAAAGCUUCAAACAUUAAAUUAACCUAUCUAUAAAAACAAAUAAAGAAAAAUACUAAUUUUAAAAAUUUGGUUGGGGCAACCAUUGAAUAAAACUAUCAUCAAUAAUUAAACGAAAAAUUUUCUUAAAACAAAGUAACAACUUAAUUAAAUAAGAAACUUAUUAAAAUGACCCAGAAUCUUCUGAUCAAUGAACAAGUUACUUUAGGGAUAACAGCGCUAUUUCUUUUUAAAGUUCACAUCGACAAAGAAGCUUACGACCUCGAUGUUGGAUUAAGAUACCCAAGUGGUGCAAAAGCUACUAAUGGUUCGUUUGUUCAACGAAUAAUAUCUUACAUGAUCUGAGUUCAGACCGGAGUAAUCCAGGUCAGCUUCUAUCUAUAACUAAUUUUAUCGAGUACGAAAGGAAAAAUAAAAUAUAGCCUAUUAUAAAAUAACGCUAUUAAGAUUAAUUUCACAAUCAUCUACAUUCUCAAGAGAAGAAAACUU